AACCUUACCAAAAACAUGACUUACAAAUUUCGUCAAACAUGAUUUAACAAAAUCUUUCUACUAAAUGCCAAAUUAGAUUCUCCUCCAAAAUCAAUUGCUCCUCUCCCAUUCAGGAAGAACCCUAAUUUCAUCUCAACCAAGCAUCUUCCCAAAAUCAAUUGAUCCCCAACGUUCACCUGAAGAACCCUAAUCCCCAAAAUGGAUUCGCGAAGUAUGGGAACAAAGAAUCAACCAUUGUUCUCGGUUGCAAUCCCAACUUCGACUCAAGCACCCCAACCUGCAAAAUCGAAUAGAAAGUAUGUGAACAAACAAUUGGCCCUUCGUCUAUGUCGUGAUCCCCAAAUUCAGCUCAAGAAUCCUAACCCUGAUCGAAUUGCGAAGUAUGUGAGCCAAAAAUCCGCAAUUGUUCUACACACUUGAAGGCAUACACAUGGACGGUUCUGAUGAAGGUAAUUCCGCCAUUUUAGUGGACUUAGUGGAAUAAUUUUUUCUGCCUCUGUUUUGGAAAUUUAGAUACAUUACCUCAUUUUAGCUUAGUUUAAUUUAAUAAUGUUGGAAAUGGUGUUUAUUAAUAAACCAAUUCAAAAAUGAAUGAGAAAUUGUGGUUUUGGAAUAGUGGCACCUGUUUGGAAGGUUGCCCCUUGGAUGACUUUGAGAGUACACCAUUUGCAUAUUGAGCAUUCAUUCUUCUCAAAAUUGCAAUUCUCUUCUUCUUCAUCUCUUUUCAUAUAUUAUAUUCCUUGUAGAGGGGAAACUCCGUCGAAAGUUCGCCGGAUUUGUGGUUUGAAGUGCUACUACCACAAAUCGAAUCCGUUGUAUCUUGGGAGACAAUUGCCGCCAACCGUGAGCACCGUAGCGGGGCAAUAUUGUCUUAAGGAGAGAGUGAAUACACUUGCCUCGAAUUUAAUCUUCGUUUUCUACUCCUUCUUAUUUUAAUUUUCUUAUUUGGUUUUAUGGUUUUGUACUACAUUUCCAUUUCAUAAAUUUGUGAUUUAAAAUGCACUCACAAACAACCAUCUUUACCGCUCACAAAUAAGCCAGGCACCAACAAUCUUAAGACAAUAUUUUAUCAAUGGUUGUUUGGCGUUCUAAUCAAGUUUUGUUUGUUGUGCAGUUUAUAUUUUAGUUCUUGUUGGAAUAUGAUUCUAGAAAAUCAGUGUGUUGGUUUCUCUAUUGCCGAUGGAAGACCAUGAUGAAACUAUAAGCCACUUUAAGAANCAAAGUGCUUUCUGCAGAGUUGGAAGAGGUUAAGAUAAUCUUUUAAUGAUUCCUAUAUCUUGAUUAAGUCAAGUGGAGUAGGGCAGAAUACUCUUUAUAGGAGGUCACCUAUGUAAGUGUGAAGUGGGGCCGCUUCAAUGAGAAUUAUUAAAAGGCUUAAAUUCUCAAAACACUUGCAGAACCAAGAAGGGUUCAAGGCCAAAAUGAACCAAGUCAUGAGAACAACGACGGAAUAGGGAAGACAUCUGUGUGAGUAUUGUUGUCUUGGCUUACACCAAAGGCUGAAUGGUUCAAGACAUCACGUUCACCAAUUAGCCGAGUAAGUCCGAUAGUAUUUCACUAAGGGAGGUUCAAAGCCAGAAGCUACCUUACCUGAUGCAGUGUUUUUCCGCUUACUCUCUACAAUGCAUAAUGCAUCAUCAUUGCAUUGCAUGAUACUUAUGUACUCGAAUUUUCAUUCAUGUGGGGGAUUGUUGGAAAUGGUGUUUAUUAAUAAACCAAUUCAAAAAUGAAUGAGAAAUUGUGGUUUUGGAAUAGUGGCACCUGUUUGGAAGGUUGCCCCUUGGAUGACUUUGAGAGUACACCAUUUGCAUAUUGAGCAUUCAUUCUUCUCAAAAUUGCAAUUCUCUUCUUCUUCAUCUCUUUUCAUAUAUUAUAUUCCUUGUAGAGGGAAAACUCCGUCGAAAGUUCGCCGGAUUUGUGGUUUGAAGUGCUACUACCACAAAUCGAAUCCGUUGUAUCUUGGGAGACAAUUGCCGCCAACCGUGAGCACCGUAGCGGGGCAAUAUUGUCUUAAGGAGAGAGUGAAUACACUUGCCUCGAAUUUAAUCUUCGUUUUCUACUCCUUCUUAUUUUAAUUUUCUUAUUUGGUUUUAUGGUUUUGUACUAUAUUUCCAUUUCAUAAAUUUGUGAUUUAAAAUGCACUCACAAACAACCAUCUUUACCGCUCACAAAUAAGCCAGGCACCAACAAAUAAUAAUUGAUUUCUAGGUUCUUAUUUUUGUGCUUUUUUUUUUUUUUAAUUACGGAAUAACACGACCCUAAAAAAUAUUGAAGUUGUGUGAUAACUCAAUUGGAAAAGUUUCUGCAAUGUUGAAUUGAUGUGAAACCAAGCACUUAACGUUGAAUCUGUCUUUAAUAGAAAAUGCAUGAUUUUUGGUUGUGUUUUUGAUAAAGUUGAGUCUCCUGUUAACAAUUUUUACAUUUACCACCUUAAAUGUGAGACGGUGAAAUAGCAGUACAUUUUGAAUGUUAAAGUUGAAUAUUUUCUUCUUCAUAUAUUACUGUCCAAAUGUUAAUGAGCUGUAAUUUUAUGACAGAAUUAACUAUGCCGGAUGAGAUUAGAUGUUUCUAAGCUCGAUGAACUCUUAAUGCCACGCUUACAACUUCAUAGUGCUAUUCACAAAGUUGGAUUAAGCACGUUGUUGAUUUUCGUUUGGAAAUUUUGUGCCAGAGUAGGAACAAACAGCUCAUCCAUUAAUUAUUGCCCUCAUACCUUCAAGUUCCUAGAUGUUAAUUAUGAGCAGUAAGCAUAAAUGUUGGUGUGUGUAUUGCCAAUUCAUUACGAUAAAUAUAUGACUGUCUUACUGUACGUGGCUGUAAUGGCAAGGAAGAAUAUGUGCAAUUUGAGGGUGAGUCCAGUGGUGAAAACCAAUGUGUUUGUUCGGGUAACUCUCAGCCCGAAGUUCCAAUUGAAGAUUUGUCUUGUGUAUUGAAGGAUUCACAUAACCGAACGAGAGGAAGUGGAAAUCUCAUUCAAUGUUACUAUCCGCAAGGGUAAAGGUCGUGUAGAAAAGAACGGGAAAUAGAAGGGAAGAGCUCCGUGAAAUUAGACCGCCUAUGUUGUUGAUUAAAGAAAUGUUAUAAUAUUCAUCAAGUUGGACCAAUGUUAUUGUAUUCGUAAAGUUUUUUAAUUAUGCAGUUUGAAUUGAUUUUGUUGACCUGGGAUCUUACCAUUGUUGGGGAGAUUGAAUGGAUUUGAUUUGAUAUUUUACCAUGCGUAUGUAUGUUUGUUGAUGUUGUUAGUUUCAUUCAUCAAGAUAUUAUUGAAUCAUUUGAAGAUAAUUACAG
This 3288-nucleotide long non-coding RNA is filed under the name Olea europaea subsp. europaea. Lineage: Eukaryota; Viridiplantae; Streptophyta; Magnoliopsida; Lamiales; Oleaceae. The record is from RNAcentral.